GCGCCCAUAGCUCAGCUGGAUAGAGCACCGGUUUCCUAAACCGGGGGUCACAGGUUCAAAUCCUGUUGGGCGUGCCA
This 77-nucleotide transfer RNA is filed under the name Deltaproteobacteria bacterium. RNAcentral describes it as "tRNA-Arg". It matches the Rfam family "tRNA". From Rfam's summary of the family: Transfer RNA (tRNA) molecules are approximately 80 nucleotides in length. Their secondary structure includes four short double-helical elements and three loops (D, anti-codon, and T loops). Lineage: Bacteria; Pseudomonadati; Myxococcota; Myxococcia. The record is from RNAcentral.